This 271-nucleotide long non-coding RNA is filed under the name Gallus gallus (chicken). RNAcentral's name for it is "long non-coding RNA NONGGAT002142". The record is from RNAcentral. Lineage: Eukaryota; Metazoa; Chordata; Aves; Galliformes; Phasianidae.
CUCGAGGCCACACAGUGCCCAGCUAUGUACAGGCCAGGAGCGAGGGAGCAGCCUGGGUGUGAUGGAUGCGAACAGCCUUGGGUUAAGAGAACUGCAGAAGCAGCAGUGGUUGCACGUGUCAGUGGCAUCACGUUCAGUCUUUUGUGACAAGGAAGGAGGAUGUGGGAAACAGCACCACUGGCAGGAGGGUCAAUCUGGACAAACAGCUCCAAGUAUGUGAGUUAUCUGACCUUUCAGUGGGUGAAAAGUGGCAAGGCUGCAGCACCUGGUG